Molecule: ribosomal RNA, 492 nt
Filed under: uncultured bacterium
Lineage: Bacteria
Description: partial 16S ribosomal RNA
Rfam family: Bacterial small subunit ribosomal RNA
Source: RNAcentral
AGUGAACGCUGGCGGUAGACCUAACACAUGCAAGUCGAACGGCAGCACAGUAAGAGCUUGCUCUUACGGGUGGCGAGUGGCGGACGGGUGAGGAAUACAUCGGAAUCUACUUUUUCGUGGGGGAUAACGUAGGGAAACUUACGCUAAUACCGCAUACGGCCUACGGGUGAAAGCAGGGGAUCUUCGGACCUUGCGCGAUUGAAUGAGCCGAUGUCGGAUUAGCUAGUUGGCGGGGUAAAGGCCCACCAAGGCGACGAUCCGUAGCUGGUCUGAGAGGAUGAUCAGCCACACUGGAACUGAGACACGGUCCAGACUCCUACGGGAGGCAGCAGUGGGGAAUAUUGGACAAUGGGCGCAAGCCUGAUCCAGCCAUACCGCGUGGGUGAAGAAGGCCUUCGGGUUGUAAAGCCCUUUUGUUGGGAAAGAAAAGCAGCAGGUUAAUACCCCGCUGUUCUGACGGUACCCAAAGAAUAAGCACCGGCUAACUUCGUG